UACGUAGGGGGCAAGCGUUGUCCGGAUUUAUUGGGCGUAAAGAGCGUGUAGGCGGCCAUACAGGUCAGCUGUGAAAACUCGAGGCUCAACCUCGAGACGUCGGUUGAAACCGUAUGGCUAGAGUCCGGAAGAGGAGAGUGGAAUUCCCGGUGUAGCGGUGAAAUGCGCAGAUAUCGGGAAGAACACCCGUGGCGAAGGCGGUUCUCUGGGCAUGUCCUGACGCUGAGGAGCGAAAGUGUGGGGAGCGAACAGG
This 253-nucleotide ribosomal RNA is filed under the name uncultured bacterium. RNAcentral describes it as "partial 16S ribosomal RNA". It matches the Rfam family "Bacterial small subunit ribosomal RNA", at positions 524 to 776 of the family's 1533-position model. The record is from RNAcentral.